CUGCCAUUACACAUUCAGGAACCCAAUUCAUUCUGUCCAGCACUUCAGCUGAAGUUCCCCCUCUGUCUCUGUGUCUUCUUCUAUCCCUCUUUGAAGGAGCGUUUCUUUUCCCCUCCCACUCCGCAGAGGCCUGAGGGAAGCAGCUGGACUCUGCGGGUUGCUGCCGAGCCGAGCCGGCGAAAAAACAGACAAAUCAGAGAGGUCUAAUUGUUUUUUAAUGUGGUCGACUGCCAGGCGGGAGGGAUGGUAAAGAGACUGUCGACCUCUAGUGGGCAUAGUUAUCAUUACAGCAGCAAAGGAUGAAGUGAGGAGAAGUAGUAUGAAGAGUGACCACAUGGGGAGAAGGUCAGAGGAAGGACGGAUGACAGGAGAACGCUGAUCGUGUCCAGCGUAAAGACGGAAAAGUCAACAGUUUCCGCUGCGGAUGAAUGUGAACAUCCAGGAGUAUUUGCGGACGGAUUUCUCCUGCAGCUCCGUCACACCGACAUCGAUAUAACGUCAGAAUGGUGCCUGCGAGGACUCGCUUCUCCCUUUCCAAUUAAGAGUCGGGGGCCAUUAUUUUGAACAGG
RNAcentral lists this long non-coding RNA (569 nucleotides) under Sparus aurata (gilthead seabream). Its description in RNAcentral is "lncRNA (ENSSAUG00010011065.1)". The record is from RNAcentral. Lineage: Eukaryota; Metazoa; Chordata; Actinopteri; Spariformes; Sparidae.